RNAcentral lists this ribosomal RNA (253 nucleotides) under uncultured bacterium. Its description in RNAcentral is "partial 16S ribosomal RNA". It matches the Rfam family "Bacterial small subunit ribosomal RNA", at positions 524 to 776 of the family's 1533-position model. The record is from RNAcentral.
UACGUAGGGUGCAAGCGUUGUCCGGAAUUAUUGGGCGUAAAGCGCGCGUAGGCGGCCCUGUAAGUCCGUUGUGAAAGUCAAAGGCUCAACCUUUGAAAGCCGAUGGAUACUGCAGGGCUAGAGUCCGGAAGAGGCGAGUGGAAUUCCUGGUGUAGCGGUGGAAUGCGCAGAUAUCAGGAGGAACACCAAUAGCGAAGGCAGCUCGCUGGGACGGUACUGACGCUAAGGCGCGAAAGCGUGGGGAGCGAACAGG